AAAUUGAAGAGUUUGAUCAUGGCUCAGAUUGAACGCUGGCGGCAGGCCUAACACAUGCAAGUCGAACGGUAACAGGAAACAGCUUGCUGUUUCGCUGACGAGUGGCGGACGGGUGAGUAAUGUCUGGGAAACUACCUGAUGGAGGGGGAUAACUACUGGAAACGGUAGCUAAUACCGCAUAACGUCGCAAGACCAAAGAGGGGGACCUUAGGGCCUCUUGCCAUCGGAUGUGCCCAGAUGGGAUUAGCUAGUAGGUGGGGUAA
RNAcentral lists this ribosomal RNA (263 nucleotides) under Escherichia coli. RNAcentral describes it as "partial 16S ribosomal RNA". It matches the Rfam family "Bacterial small subunit ribosomal RNA", at positions 1 to 260 of the family's 1533-position model. The record is from RNAcentral. Lineage: Bacteria; Pseudomonadati; Pseudomonadota; Gammaproteobacteria; Enterobacterales; Enterobacteriaceae.